This is a long non-coding RNA of Mizuhopecten yessoensis (Yesso scallop), 607 nucleotides long. RefSeq lists it as uncharacterized. The transcript has 3 exons. NCBI's taxonomy places the organism in Eukaryota, Metazoa, Mollusca, Bivalvia, Pectinida, Pectinidae. The record is from RefSeq and is a predicted model, not a curated record.
CAGGGCCCGAUGCUUCAAUUAGCUACGCACUGCUUGGAGCAUUACUUUUUAUUUCAAUCGGGAUCAACAUAGGAUUAAUUAUUGACCGUCUAAGAACAAAAAUGAGAACGUCACCGCCUGGAAGACCUGACAACGAAAUACAUUAUCAGAAUACAGUGAAUGUCAAUGAGAACUACGCCAAUCUUGAUUCAUCGAAAAUUGAACGAUCAAGCAACAUCUAUGAGACCAUAGGCACGUAAUGUGGCUAAGAUAGGCAAAAAAUACUAUUUUACUUAUUGAUUUCUGCUGAACUAAAGUUUACAUUCUUGCUAAUAUUUGUGAUAUACAUGUAUGUGAGAACUAUUGACGCAUCAAAACAAGCAUGUAUGAUACAGAAAUGUUUGUUAACUUACAAUAAUAAGAGCGAAGCUCUUUAAUGGUAACACAUGAGUGCGUAAACGGAGUUGCUUCCCAUUGCUACACGUUGCCUUUAAUUUUUUCGUCCGGAAGUAGACGUCCAGUGGGGAAACAGGAAGUGUAUCCUUGAAGUAAAGACAAAUGUGUUUCAACCCAUCCAUGAAUAUCUUCAUAUAGUGAAAACAAUCUUCAUGUUUUAUUACUUGUUUAU